GAUAAACGCUGGCGGCGCACAUAAGACAUGCAAGUCGAACGGACUUAACUCAUUCUUUUAGAUUGAGAGCGGUUAGUGGCGGACUGGUGAGUAACACGUAAGCAACCUGCCUAUUAGAGGGAAUAACAGUGAGAAAUCAUUGCUAAUACCGCAUGUGUUCACAGUAUCACAUGAUACAGUGAGGAAAGGAGUAAUCCACUGAUAGAUGGGCUUGCGUCUGAUUAGCUAGUUGGUGGGGCAACGGCCUACCAAGGCGACGAUCAGUAGCCGGACUGAGAGGUUGAACGGCCACAUUGGGACUGAGAUACGGCCAG
Molecule: ribosomal RNA, 314 nt
Filed under: uncultured bacterium
Lineage: Bacteria
Description: bacterial SSU rRNA
Rfam family: Bacterial small subunit ribosomal RNA
Source: RNAcentral